RNAcentral lists this ribosomal RNA (253 nucleotides) under uncultured bacterium. Its description in RNAcentral is "partial 16S ribosomal RNA". It matches the Rfam family "Bacterial small subunit ribosomal RNA", at positions 524 to 776 of the family's 1533-position model. The record is from RNAcentral.
UACGAGGGGGGCAAGCGUUGUUCGGAAUUAUUGGGCGUAAAGGGUGCGUAGGCGGUUUGGUAAGUCACCUGUGAAAUCUCCUGGCUCAACUGGGAGCUUGCAGGCGAAACUGCCGUACUGGAGUGUGGGAGAGGUGCGUGGAAUUCCCGGUGUAGCGGUGAAAUGCGUAGAGAUCGGAAAGAACACCAACGGCGAAAGCACUCUGCUGGGCCGACACUGACACUGAGAGACGAAAGCUAGGGGAGCGAAUGGG